Molecule: ribosomal RNA, 2868 nt
Filed under: human gut metagenome
Description: bacterial LSU rRNA
Rfam family: Bacterial large subunit ribosomal RNA
Source: RNAcentral
AGAGCACAGGGAGAAUGCCUUGGCACCAAGAGCCGAAGAAGGACGUGGUUAACUGCGAAAAGCCAUGGGGAGCUGUAAGCAAGCAUUGAUCCAUGGAUAUCCGAAUGGGGAAACCCGGCACAUGCGAGUGUGUCACCGUUACAUGAAUCCAUAGUGUAACGGGGGGAACCCGGUGAACUGAAACAUCUAAGUAGCCGGAGGAAGAGAAAGAAACAUCGAUUUUCUAAGUAGCGGCGAGCGAACGGGAAAGAGCCCAAACCGCGGGUCUACGGACCUGCGGGGUAAGGACCUGCAGGAUCGGGGAGCUGUAUAGUCGAAGCGCGCUGGAAAGCGCAGCCGGAGACGGUAAAAGCCCGGUAGGCGAAAUACAGCGAACGAGGCAGGGAUCCGGAGUACCACAGGACACGAGGAAUCCGGUGGGAAGGCGGGGGGACCACCCCCCAAGGCUAAAUACUACUUGGUGACCGAUAGCGAAGAGUACCGUGAGGGAAAGGUGAAAAGCACCCCGGGAGGGGAGUGAAAGAGAACCUGAAACCCUGUGUUUACAAGCAGAGGGAGCGAAAGCGACCUCGUACUUUUUGUAGAACGGGCCGGCGAGUUACUAUAUGUUGCGAGGUUAAGGUGUAGAGCACUGGAGCCGCAGGGAAACCGAGUCUCAAACGGGCGAAGAGUAGCAUAUAGUAGACCCGAAACCGGGUGACCUAUCCAUGGACAGGUUGAAGCGGCGGUAAGACGCCGUGGAGGACCGAACCAGACGUAUGUUGAAAAAUGCGGGGAUGAGCUGUGGAUAGCGGAGAAAUUCCAAUCGAACCCGGAGAUAGCUGGUUCUCCCCGAAAUAGCUUUAGGGCUAGCCUCGAUCGAAGGAUUACCGGGGGUAGAGCACUGAAUGGGCUAGGGGGCCACAAAGCUUACCGAACCCUAUCAAACUGCGAAUACCGGAGAAUCAGGAUCGGGAGUCACACAGUGGGAGAUAAGUUUCAUUGUGGAAAGGGAAACAGCCCAGACCAACGACUAAGGUCCCGAAGUGACGGUUAAGUGGGAAAGGAUGUGCAACUGCACAGACAACCAGGAUGUUGGCUUAGAAGCAGCCACACAUUUAAAGAGUGCGUAAUAGCUCACUGGUCGAGUGGAUGUGCGCCGAAAAUGUAGCGGGGCUAAACCGAACACCGAAGUCUUGGGAUGGCGGAAGCCAUCGGUAGGGGAGCAACGAAUACGGGCAGAAGCGGGAUUGUGAGAGACCGUGGACCGUAUUGGAGAGAGAAUGCCGGCAUGAGUAGCGAGAGCGAAGUGAGAAUCUUCGCCGUCGAAAGCCUAAGGUUUCCUGAGGAAGGUUCGUCCUCUCAGGGUAAGUCGGGACCUAAGCCGAGGACAGAAGUCGUAGGUGAUGGACAACAGGUUGAUAUUCCUGUACCGCCGACACACGUUAGACAGAGGCAGUGACACAGAAGGAUAGGCAGAGCGGCCGAAUGGUAGAGGCCGUCCAAGCGGCAAGGGAGCAGCGUAGUGAAGUACGCGUUGCAAUUCCGAGUCGUGAUGGGGACUGAAAACAAGUAGGGAAGCUGCUGAAUUCACGCUGGCGAGAAAAGCUGCUAUGGAGUGUGAAGGCGCCCGUACCGCAAACCGACACAGGUGGGCGAGGAGAGAAUCCUAAGACGAGCGGGAGAACCCUUGUUAAGGAACUCGGCAAAAUGACCCCGUAACUUCGGGAGAAGGGGUGCCUCGAAAGAGGCCGCAGAGAAUUGGCCCAAGCAACUGUUUAGCAAAAACACAGGUCUAUGCGAAACCGAAAGGUGAGGUAUAUGGGCUGACGCCUGCCCGGUGCUGGAAGGUUAAGAGGAGAGGUUAGCGCAAGCGAAGCUUUGAAUUUAAGCCCCAGUAAACGGCGGCCGUAACUAUAACGGUCCUAAGGUAGCGAAAUUCCUUGUCGGGUAAGUUCCGACCCGCACGAAAGGCGUAAUGAUUUGAGCGCUGUCUCGACAAUGCAUCCGGUGAAAUUGAAGUACCAGUGAAGAUGCUGGUUACCUGCGCCAGGACGGAAAGACCCCAUGGAGCUUUACUCCAGCUUGAUACUGGGAUUCGGUAUUGCAUGUACAGGAUAGGUGGGAGGCUAGGAAGUGAUAACGCCAGUUGUCACGGAGCCGCUGUUGGGAUACCACCCUUGCAGUAUUGGAUUUCUAACCAGCAGCCGUGACCCGGCUGGGGGACAAUGUCAGGCGGGGAGUUUGACUGGGGCGGUCGCCUCCGAAAGGGUAUCGGAGGCGCUCAAAGGUUCCCUCAGAAUGGUUGGAAACCAUUCGAAGAGUGCAAAGGCAGAAGGGAGCUUGACUGCGACACCGACGGGUGGAGCAGGUACGAAAGUAGGACUUAGUGAUCCGGUGGUAUAAAGUGGGAUUGCCAUCGCUCAACGGAUAAAAGCUACCCUGGGGAUAACAGGCUUAUCACUCCCAAGAGUUCACAUCGACGGAGUGGUUUGGCACCUCGAUGUCGGCUCAUCGCAUCCUGGGGCUGUAGUAGGUCCCAAGGGUUGGGCUGUUCGCCCAUUAAAGCGGUACGCGAGCUGGGUUCAGAACGUCGUGAGACAGUUCGGUCCCUAUCCUCCGUGGGCGCAGGAGAAUCGAUGGAGGCUGCCCCCAGUACGAGAGGACCGGGGUGGACGCACCUCCGGUGAACCGGUUGUCGACCAACGGCACGGCCGGGUAGCCGCGUGCGGCGCGGAUAACCGCUGAAGGCAUCUAAGCGGGAAGCCGUUCCAGGGAUUAGUUCUCCUUCCGGUAAGGGCCCAGGUAGACUACCUGGUCGAUAGACGGCAGGUGCAAGGCUGGCGACAGCCUCAGCCGAGCCGCACUAAUCGCCCGAGCUCUUCCGGA